GUAGCAGAGGAGGAAGCUCCGGCUAACUACGUGCCAGCAGCCGCGGUAAUACGUAGGGAGCAAGCGUUGUCCGGAUUUAUUGGGUUUAAAGGGAGCGUAGGUGGACAGUUAAGUCAGUUGUGAAAGUUUGCGGCUCAACCGUAAAAUUGCAGUUGAUACUGGCUGUCUUGAGUACAGUAGAGGUGGGCGGAAUUCGUGGUGUAGCGGUGAAAUGCUUAGAUAUCACGAAGAACUCCGAUUGCGAAGGCAGCUCACUGGACUGCAACUGACACUGAUGCUCGAAAGUGUGGGUAUCAAACAGGAUUAGAUACCCUGGUAGUCCACACAGUAAACGAUGAAUACUCGCUGUUUGCGAUAUACAGUAAGCGGCCAAGCGAAAGCAUUAAGUAUUCCACCUGGGGAGUACGCCGGCAACGGUGAAACUCAAAGGAAUUGACGGGGGCCCGCACAAGCGGAGGAACAUGUGGUUUAAUUCGAUGAUACGCGAGGAACCUUACCCGGGCUUAAAUUGCAUUUGAAUAUAUUGGAAACAGUAUAGUCGUAAGACAAAUGUGAAGGUGCUGCAUGGUUGUCGUCAGCUCGUGCCGUGAGGUGUCGGCUUAAGUGCCAUAACGAGCGCAACCCUUAUCUUUAGUUACUAACAGGUCAUGCUGAGGACUCUGGAGAGACUGCCGUCGUAAGAUGUGAGGAAGGUGGGGAUGACGUCAAAUCAGCACGGCCCUUACGUCCGGGGCUACACACGUGUUACAAUGGGGGGUACAGAAGGUCGCUACCUGGUGACAGGAUGCUAAUCCCAAAAGCCUCUCUCAGUUCGGAUCGAAGUCUGCAACCCGACUUCGUGAAGCUGGAUUCGCUAGUAAUCGCGCAUCAGCCAUGGCGCGGUGAAUACGUUCCCGGGCCUUGUACACACCGCCCGUCAAG
Molecule: ribosomal RNA, 921 nt
Filed under: uncultured bacterium
Lineage: Bacteria
Description: bacterial SSU rRNA
Rfam family: Bacterial small subunit ribosomal RNA
Source: RNAcentral